GACUUACAGGACACUCUUGGACAGCAGCAGGAGAGCUCUAGAGAUCCAUGCCUCUUCCCAUCUCUAAACUGCUUUUAAGAAAGUCUGAAAUUUUAAUAGAGCAAAGAAUUUGGAGGCAUAUCAACCUAGUUACCUAUGCUGGAUGUAUAAAUACUGCUGCAUCGUUUCGGCAAAUCACCCAACCUCUUUGAGGCUCAGUUCUAUCUCCGAGAGGAGAGAACCAAAGCCCAAUGAAGCUUGGUCACUUGCUGGUAAGUGCCUGACAUUGAUGAGUACCUUGCCAAGAAGUGUCAGGCAGCAGCUGACACCAAUCUAAAGAGAGAAGAAGAAAUUCUGAGCCUUUCUAUGAGGACGCUGCCUGGGCUUAGUAUACCUGCUUGCCUGAGAAAUUGUGAGAAGAAAGGAAAUGAACAUAGUAACAGGCCAGCCACUGCCAAAAUGAUACACUAUUAGCCACGCCAGCACUUCCAAAAUUAAGAUCUGCACAAAGUGAAGAAAGAAGAACCCCAGGUUGGCAUGGAACAUGUUCAUAGCCUCUGCGAUGCUCCACAAUUCUUGGAAAUCUUUUACCAACUGGGACUAUGAAAUAAAUAUUCAAAGAGUAAAUUAGCUCUUUCAGGGGAAAGGGAAUACAGAUGAACAUAAUUAAUAAUUUAUUUUAUUAAUUUUGUAUACAUCUCUUUUAUUAAUAGAAUUUUAUUAAUACAU
This 708-nucleotide long non-coding RNA is filed under the name Homo sapiens (human). RNAcentral describes it as "HSALNT0362783". The record is from RNAcentral. Lineage: Eukaryota; Metazoa; Chordata; Mammalia; Primates; Hominidae.